AACGUGCUGAUAUGUGUACUGAUGGACAGCCACAAACGUCCUGUGUGUGCUGACGGACACACACAGAUAGCCACGGACAUCAUGUGUGUGCUGACGGACACACAGGGACGUCCUGUGUGUGCUGACGGACACCCACGGACGUCCUAUCUGUGCUGACGGACACACACGGACAGACACAGAUACACACGGACAGCCACGGACGUCCUGUGUGUGCUAGCCACGGACAGCCACAGAUGUCCUGUGUGUGCUGGCGGAAACCCAUAGACGUCCUGAUAGAACCCAGGACCUGGACCAGGGCGUGGAGCAGACUCAGCAUGGUGACCAGGACGAUCAGAUCAGUCCAACUGAGGUUCAGCCAUUUAGCCGUUCCAGAUCAACGGACAGAGCCGUGUACCGGAUCGACCCGCGUGCACCCGGACGUGACCUAAGGAUGGAUCCACGACCUGUUGACCAAAUCAGCCAAACCACAGGCGUUCUUCCCCGACCCAUUCGCCAUUCUAGAGCCAACAGUCAAGCCAGAACCCAUGAUCAUCGAGAAGAAUCAGAUUCCGGACUUAGCCUGUCUUUCCUGGCCCGUUUGGGACGUACCGCACGCCCGGAUCAGGCUGAUCACGACCUUUCCAACCACUUUGAUGAUUUCAUGAUGAUCAAUGCUUCCAACUACUCCAAAGGAAGGAUACUUAAGCUCUCUGAAGAUUUGGGUCGAGCUAUCUCUUCAUCCGUUCAUGGAUCAUCGACGAUCAAUCAUGCGGGCAGCCUUACGUCCGUCCUGCUCCUUACCGCGAACGACCUAAUCACCAGAGGAUGAACCUGGACGUCUUUGUGAAUCUGGACCAGUCAACACAAGAAUCCGCACCUUGACCAGUCUUUAGUCAAAGUCUUCAUUUCUAAUUUCUAUGUCUUGUUUUCAUUCAUUUCUAUUUUCUAUGUUGUCUUUUCCCACAAAUGUCUUUAUGUUUCUUUGACUCACAAACCUUAUAAGUAUGUGAUGAUCCCCCUUAAUAAAAACACAUCGAUUUUCCUUUGCUUAUUUUGAGUCUUCUCUCAUUGUUCUUUGCUUAGAACAUUCAUACUUCUCUUGGUGAGGUCAUCUCCAAGCGAACCACUUCGUUGUGUUGGACCGGUGAGUCACAUCCGGCAACCUUCGAAUCUCUGGUAGUAUCUUUGGGCUAUUCCGCAACCCUUAGUGUCACCGUUCAUACCAUCAGUUCUCUUUCCUUACGGAUCGAGUUCAUAUCCCCCUUACCGGUUGAGUGUUCGUUCCUUAGGGUUCUUCAAGUGGUAUCAGAGCCACUCUUCCGGUAACUCUAUUAUCAUUCCAUCUUCUCAUCUCUACAUCUUCUUCAAACACUUCUUCUUCUACCUUUCUUAAAUCCGGGCCCCUCAUUACCAUCCAUAUUAAAAAAAAAAAAGAUAUACGAUUUGAUUCAAAAAAAAAAAAAAAAAAAAAGUUCAAAGUUUGUUUUGUGGAUUGGUGGUGGAAGAGAAAGCCUGCUGGCUGAGGAGAAAUCCAGCCUUUGAGGUGGUUAAAACGGAUUUCAAAAAUCAAAAUCUCUUAUCUUUCUAUCUUGAGAAAAUUCCCUUUUUUGCUUGGAUUUGCCCAUUGGGAUUCUUUGAUUUGUUCUCUUAGAACAUUGAGUAGAAACUUGUGUGUGAUCACCUAAAUCUGAGAGAAACACUUGAGUGGGUGAGAAUAAAACACUUGAGAGAGUGAGGCUUUAUUUCCUAACUUUUGUGUUGAGAUUUUCAGGUUAUGAUGUUUGGUCUUCAAAGGAAAAGUAACAAGGAGAAGCACCCACGACUUUCUGUCUCUCAAACCUCCUUUAACUAUGCUUUGAAUACUUUUGAUGAGUUUGUUGAUGUGCAGGAGAAACCAAACAGGUGGAGCAAAGAGCAUGUCAAUACAUCCAAAGGUGAAUCUGAUCCAAGAAGGCGAUUGCUUCAGUUUGAUGUCCAACAAUUUUGUGAUAACUUUGUGAAGGGUGUGGACAAAGCCCUCAAGGACGUCAGCAAGAGCCAAAAGAAGAGCACAUCCACACGUGCCCCAGUAGCUGAGCCAUCCUUGUUCAUCAGUAAGAAAGCCCAAGGUGAAUCUGAAAACCAUUUUGAAGAACUUAAAGAUUUUUCAGAUUCUCUACCCAUUUUUGAUGAAUCUGAUGAAGAGCUAAUUGAAAGCUUGAUGUUUUGUGAAAAAGAUUGUGAUCUUCCUUUUCUUGAAACUGAGUUUAAUCUUGAUAAUGAACAAGCUAUUGUAGAACUAACUGUUUUGCAACCGGAGCUUCCGAGUAGUCUUGUUUUGUCUCCACAGGUUUUUGAGGAAGAGCCACUGGAUUUUCCACAUCAGUGCCCAUGUCUUGACACUAGGAAAUGUUUGGAUGAUGAUCUAGGUCCUAUCUUUGAUGAGGAGGACGAACCUGAUCCAGUCUUUGAUGAAGAAGCAACAAGCAUCACAUCCAUUGCUAUGGAGAAUUAUCUAUGCUUUGAUCCCGGCACAACUCCUGCCCCUUUACCUCCUGAUCUUCAAGAGCACUGUGAGGAACCUUCUUCUCUUUAUUCUCUGCCUGACAUGUUUGUGAAAGUCAGUACUGAUGAUAUAAUUCGUUUUGGUCUUGACAAGAUAAAAGAUUUUUGUGUUUCAAAAUCUGUUUUUGAUAACAUGAUUAAUUCUUUAAAAAUCUUUCAACCUGAUAAAUGUCUUGAUCAAUCAUGUUUUCAAAAUGUCAAUGCCAUCACUUCUGGAAUUAUUUUGAGCUUUGAUCAGUUCGUGGAACAUAACAAAGGUUUUCAUCUUCUUGGAAGGCCAUUUGAUCUUGAUUUGCAACAAACUGAUUUUUGUGCUGAAAAAUCUCUUGAUUCGUUUGUUUGCAAAGGAAAUGGCUUUGAUCUGAGUUCUUCUAGACAUGUACUGAUUACUGAUAAAUUGUUUGCAUCCUCUUAUGCCUUGGACGAAAUUUUGAUUCAGAAGUUGCUGGAACAGAAAUCACUUGAAACUAAAAAUGAUUUUCGUGAUCUUGAAUUUUGUGGUUCUGUUUUGCAGCCUGAUCUCUUGAGUUUUGAAAUUGAUAAUACUUGGCAUUUUCUGAGAUCAUUUCGUGAUAAUAGUGUUGUCUUGAGUUCUGAUGAUAUUUUGGUUUACAACACAUUCUUUGAGAAAUGCCUUGAACUUUUGAUAAAUGAUUCUCAAACUGAACUUAAGCUUGUGUGUUCAGAUGUUGGGAAGGAUAUGCCCAUUUUGAAAAUGAAUACUGUUGUUGCAUAUCUUGAUAAAAUUCUUGUCUGUAAUAUUUACUUUGAUGAGCACCUUGAAAGGCUGAAAAAUGUGCAAUUUGUUCUUGGAAAAGAUAUCUUGAUUUGUGAUUUGAACAAAUAUUUAUCUUGCACAUUUGAUCCUGGUCUUUUAGUGUUUGUUUUGAGUAUCCAGGAAAGACAAGUUCAGCCUCUGAAUGAAAGCAUUGGCCGUGCCCAACAACCUCAGAUUUGGAGAAGCUUUGUUGUUCAAACCGGCUACCUUGGUGCCAGCGACAGAGGUUCAGUCCAAGAAGGAUAUCUCAACAGUCCGAAGGUCUUUUGUCUUGAAUCCAAUUUUACAAGAAGGCCAACUCAUCAAGGAUUCACUGAGGCUUGGAAUCGCAUGUAAAUCUUCACGGAUGAGGAAGUUAUGAAUUUUCCAAACCGGAGGUUCUUCAGUCCAUCUAGGCGCGAGUACCAGAUUUCUAAAGGAGAUUCAUGGCCCAGAAAGAAUCGGCCUGAGCCAAAACCGAUCCUCCAUGAACCAAAGGUGUUUCCUCAGUCAUCCUCCUGUCUAAACCAAAAGCACUGUAAGGAUCAUGAGUUGAUUGCCUCUACUCUUCAUGAAAAUGUUUUGCAACCGAGAAUUUCAAAAAGAAAACAUAUUCUUACUUGGUUGAAAAACGUUUUGCUCAAACCUUUUCAUGAAUUGAUUUCAUUGAGCUGUGCUUUGAAAGAGAUUUGGUGCAGGAAAAAGCAUGAACUAAAAUUGCUUAGGCCAAAGAAUCAAUUUGAUUUCAUUCAUGAUAAGAAUUUUUCAGAUUUGGCAUUGUCUCUUUCUUUUCCUAACUGUUUCUCACCUUGGCCUGAUUUUGAGAUUGACAAAUCAAUUUUUGGCAACCAGCUUACUUGCUUAAUGCUUGCCCACGUCCUUGAUGAUUAUCCUAAAUGCUUGGAUUCUGUUUUUGGUGUCUUAAGGAUAGAGAAACCCUUUGAUUAUUCCUUUACCAGAUUUGAUGUGGUUUCUCUAGUUGCUUUGAAUAAACAGGAUAAGCAUGAUCAGUUUCUAAGGAGAGCAAGCACCAAUGGACGCCAAAGUACUUGGAAUUCCUUGAUGAAAAUGACUUCAAAACUCCAAGGAAGUUUCUGUCCAUAUUUUUCAUUCUCUGAAUUUUCCAUGAAUUUUAAUUCCUUUGUAUCUGAUUCAUCUCUUUUUGAUAUAGGUACUUUGGAUUUGAGGACAAAUCCUUUUGAAGAAGGAGGGAAUGAUAGAACCCAGGACCUGGACCAGGGCGUGGAGCAGACUCAGCAUGGUGACCAGGACGAUCAGAUCAGUCCAACUGAGGUUCAGCCAUUUAGCCGUUCCAGAUCAACGGACAGAGCCGUGUACCGGAUCGACCCGCGUGCACCCGGACGUGACCUAAGGAUGGAUCCACGACCUGUUGACCAAAUCAGCCAAACCACAGGCGUUCUUCCCCGACCCAUUCGCCAUUCUAGAGCCAACAGUCAAGCCAGAACCCAUGAUCAUCGAGAAGAAUCAGAUUCCAGACUUAGCCUGUCUUUCCUGGCCCGUUUGGGACGUACCGCACGCCCGGAUCAGGCUGAUCAAUGCUUCCAACUACUCCAAAGGAAGGAUACUUAAGCUCUCUGAAGAUUUGGGUCGAGCUAUCUCUUCAUCCGUUCAUGGAUCAUCGACGAUCAAUCAUGCGGGCAGCCUUACGUCCGUCCUGCUCCUUACCGCGAACGACCUAAUCACCAGAGGAUGAACCUGGACGUCUUUGUGAAUCUGGACCAGUCAACACAAGAAUCCGAACCUUGACCAGUCUUUAGUCAAAGUCUUCAUUUCUAAUUUCUAUGUCUUGUUUUCAUUCAUUUCUAUUUUCUAUGUUGUCUUUUCCCACAAAUGUCUUUAUGUUUCUUUGACUCACAAAC
Molecule: long non-coding RNA, 5160 nt
Filed under: Brassica rapa (field mustard)
Lineage: Eukaryota; Viridiplantae; Streptophyta; Magnoliopsida; Brassicales; Brassicaceae
Description: long non-coding RNA (BRAP_LNC008650)
Source: RNAcentral